GUAGACCCGAAACCGGGUGAUCUAUCCAUGUCCAGGUUGAAGCUGCCGUAAAAGGCGUGGAGGACCGAACACACAUCCGUUGAAAAGGGUGGUGAUGAGGUGUGGAUAGGGGAGAAAUUCCAAUCGAACCCGGAGAUAGCUGGUUCUCCUCGAAAUAGCUUUAGGGCUAGCCUCGUGUUAGUCUCCUGGAGGUAGAGCACUGAAUUCUUAAGGGGGCGUCAAAGCUUACCAAGAGAUAUCAAACUCCGAAUGCCAGAGAGAUGAUGCACGGGAGUCAGACGGCACGAGAUAAGUUGGGUCGUCAAAAGGGAAAGAGCCCAGACCACCAGCUAAGGUCCCAAAGUGCGUGUUAAGUGGAAAAGGAUGUGGGAUUUCGAAGACAACUAGGAUGUUGGCUCAGAAGCAGCCACACAUUCAAAGAGUGCGUAAUAGCUCACUAGUCGAGAGGUCCUGCGCCGAAAAUGUCCGGGGCUGAAACACGACACCGAAGCUGUGGACUUGCCUAUGGCAAGUGGUAGAGGAGCAUUCUUAACUGCGGCGAAGCAGUACCGAUAAGGAGCUGUGGAGUGUUAAGAAGAGAGAAUGCCGGAAUGAGUAGCGAGAUGGAGGUGGGAAUCCUCCAGGCCGAAUAUCUAAGGUUUCCAGAGUAAAGCUGAUCUGCUCUGGGUAAGUCGGGACCUAAGGCAAGGUCGAAAGACGUAGUCGAUGGACAACAGGUUGAAAUUCCUGUACCACAUAUCAUCAGAACUGUGGGGACACAGGGCGAUAACCAGACCCGGGAAUGAAAAGACCGGGGCAAGCGAGGUAGGAGUUAAGCUGGCAAAUCCGCUUAACAAUCCGAAGACGUGAUGCGGACCGAACAAAAGUAGGGAAGCUGGUGAUUCGAACUGUCAAGAAAAGCCGCUAUUGUGUGAUAUGUGCCCGUACCGUAAACCGACACAGGUGGAUGAGGAGAGAAUCCUAAGGCCGGCGGGAGAAGCAUUGUUAAGGAACUCGGCAAAAUGACCCUGUAACUUCGGGAUAAAGGGUGCCUGCGCAAGCAGGCCGCAGAGAAUAGGCUCAAGCAACUGUUUAGCAAAAACACAGGUCUAUGCAAAACCGAAAGGUGAGGUAUAUGGGCUGACGCCUGCCCGGUGCUGGAAGGUUAAGAGGAGAGGUUAGAGCAAUCGAAGCUUUGAAUUUAAGCCCCAGUAAACGGCGGCCGUAACUAUAACGGUCCUAAGGUAGCGAAAUUCCUUGUCGGGUAAGUUCCGACCCGCACGAAAGGCGUAAUGAUUUGAGCGCUGUCUCGACAAUGCACCCGGUGAAAUUGAAAUACCAGUGAAGAUGCUGGUUACCUGCGCCAGGACGGAAAGACCCCAUGGAGCUUUACUCCAGCUUGAUACUGGGAUUCGGUUAUACAUGUACAGGAUAGGUGGGAGGCUAAGAAGUGAGGACGCCAGUCUUCACGGAGCCGCUGUUGGGAUACCACCCUUGUGUGACUGGGUUUCUAACCUGCAGCCGUGACCCGGCUGGGGGACAAUGUCAGGUGGGGAGUUUGACUGGGGCGGUCGCCUCCGAAAGGGUAUCGGAGGCGCUCAAAGGUUCCCUCAGAAUGGUUGGAAACCAUUUGCAGAGUGCAAAGGCAUAAGGGAGCUUGACUGCGAGACCGACGGGUCGAGCAGGUAGGAAACUAGGACUUAGUGAUCCGGUGGUAUAAAGUGGGAUUGCCAUCGCUCAACGGAUAAAAGCUACCCUGGGGAUAACAGGCUUAUCACUCCCAAGAGUUCACAUCGACGGAGUGGUUUGGCACCUCGAUGUCGGCUCAUCGCAUCCUGGGGCUGAAGUAGGUCCCAAGGGUUGGGCUGUUCGCCCAUUAAAGCGGUACGCGAGCUGGGUUCAGAACGUCGUGAGACAGUUCGGUCCCUAUCCGGCGUGGGCGUAGGAUAUUUGAGAGGAGCUGUCCUUAGUACGAGAGGACCGGGAUGGACUGACCUCUGGUGCAUCGGUUGAGAAUCAAUCUCAUGGCCGAGUAGCCAAGUCGGGACGGGAUAAACGCUGAAGGCAUCUAAGCGUGAAGCCCCCCUCAAGAUGAGAUAUCCCAUACGCAAGUAGUAAGACCCCUUGAAGACGACGAGGUAGAUAGGGCAGAGGUGGAAGUGUGGUAACACAUGUAGCUGACUGUCACUAAUAGGUCGAGGGCUUAACCAA
Molecule: ribosomal RNA, 2190 nt
Filed under: human gut metagenome
Description: bacterial LSU rRNA
Rfam family: Bacterial large subunit ribosomal RNA
Source: RNAcentral